AACAACAUCUCUCUUUUGAGUAAGACACAGAUACAUUCCUGAUGGUGUUUGCAGCACAUCAGCAUGGUCAACAAGUUCUUUGAAGACAUGAUAUAUUUUCCUUAGUAAUUUCAUUAUCUUUCUCUUCUGGAGCUACAAUCACACAAACUAUUUUCAGUCAUGCUAAGACCCUUCUCAAAUUUUUGCCUCAAUUCUUUCUUGGGGUUGGAAGGAACUUCUGUUUGCCCUCCUACCAAGGUGAGUGCAGAUAUCAUGUCUUCAAUGUGUUUUAUGUCUACUCUCAUUUUUUAAUGUAUCUUUCACAUCAGGUGAAACUUAGAGCCUGCAAAUGACACAUUUUAAGCACUUACUAAAUUAUCAAUAAAGAAAUGUAAUAAC
This 378-nucleotide small RNA is filed under the name Bos taurus (domestic cattle). Lineage: Eukaryota; Metazoa; Chordata; Mammalia; Artiodactyla; Bovidae. The record is from RNAcentral.